GGCUCAGAUUGAACGCUGGCGGAAUGCUUUACACAUGCAAGUCGAACGGCAGCACGGACUUCGGUCUGGUGGCGAGUGGCGAACGGGUGAGUAAUACAUCGGAACGUGCCCGGACGUGGGGGGAUAACUACUCGAAAGAGUGGCUAAUACCGCAUACGAUCCAAGGAUGAAAGCGGGGGGAUCGCAAGACCUCGCGCGUUUGGAGCGGCCGAUGGCAGAUUAGCUAGAUGGUAAGGUAACGGCUUACCAUGGCUACGAUAGGUAGGGGUCCUGAGAGGGAGAUCCCCCACACUGGUACUGAGACACGGACCAGACUCCUACGGGAGGCAGCAGUGAGGAAUAUUGGACAAUGGGCGCAAGCCUGAUCCAGCCAUGCCGCGCGCAGGAAGAAGCAUCUAUGGUGUGUAAACUGCUUUUGUACGGGAAGAAACACUCCUACGUGUAGGAGCUUGACGGUACCGUAAGAAUAAGGAUCGGCUAACUCCGUG
This 488-nucleotide ribosomal RNA is filed under the name uncultured bacterium. Its description in RNAcentral is "bacterial SSU rRNA". It matches the Rfam family "Bacterial small subunit ribosomal RNA", at positions 21 to 507 of the family's 1533-position model. The record is from RNAcentral.